This 1282-nucleotide ribosomal RNA is filed under the name uncultured eukaryote. RNAcentral's name for it is "SSU rRNA". It matches the Rfam family "Eukaryotic small subunit ribosomal RNA", at positions 373 to 1686 of the family's 1831-position model. The record is from RNAcentral.
GAAUUCGGCUUCGGAGAGGGAGCAUGAGAAAUGGCUACCACAUCCAAGGAAGGCAGCAGGUGCGCAAAUUACCCAAUCUUGAUUCGGUGAGGUAGUGACAAGAAAUAUCAAUAUAGGGCUUACAGUUUUAUACUUGGAAUGAGUGGUAUUUAAAUUGCUCCGCGAGUAUCAAUUGGAGGGCAAGUCUGGUGCCAGCAGCCGCGGUAAUUCCAGCUCCAAUAGCACAUAUUAGAGUUGUUGCGGUUAAAAAGCUCGUAGUCGGAUCUCUGCCAAGCUCGACUGGUCCGCCUCUUGAGGCGGCACCGUGUCAGGCUCUGGCAUAAUCCCGUCAUCGCUCCUUUCGCUUGAAUGCGUGAGGUAGCGUCCGGGACAAUUACUUUGAGGAAAUUAGAGUGUUUCAAGCAAGCACAAGCAUUGAAUAUACUAGCAUGGAAUAAUAAUGUGAGACCCGAGCUCUCCUUGUUGGUUUUGGAGCUUGGGUACUGAUUGAUAGGGGCAGUCGCGGGCACUCGUAUUUAGCUGUUAGAGGUGAAAUUCUUGGAUUUGUUAAGGACGAACAGGUGCGAAAGCAUUUGUCAAGGAUGUUUUCAUUGAUCAAGAACUAAAGUUAGGUGAUCGAAGACGAUCAGAUACCGUCCUAGUCCUAACCAUAAACGAUGCCAACUAGAUAUUGGAGGCUGUCAUUUUCAAGGCUCCUUCGGUAUCUCAUGAGAGAUCAAAGUUUUUGGGUUCCGGGGGGAGUAUAGUCGCAAGGCCGAAACUUAAAGGAAUUGACGGAAGGGCACCACCAGGAGUGGAGCCUGCGGCUUAAUUUGACUCAACACGGGAAAACUCACCAGGUCCAGACAUAGAGAGGAUUGACAGACUAAAAGCUCUUUCUUGAUUCUAUGGGUGGUGGUGCAUGGCCGUUCUUAGUUGGUGGAGUGAUUUGUCAGGUUAAUUCCGUUAACGAACGAGACCUCAUCUUGCUAAAUAAUGAGUCACAAUUUCGAUUGUGAUAAUCGUUUCUUAGAGGGACUUUGCGUGCUCUAGCGCAAGGAAGUGUGAGGCAAUAACAGGUCUGUGAUGCCCUUAGAUGUUCUGGGCUGCACGCGCGCUACACUGAUACGAUCAUCGAGUUCCCACCUUUUCCGGAAGGAUCGGGCAACCUUAAAAAUUGCAUCGUGAUGGGGAUCGAUUUUUGUAAUUAUAAAUCUUCAACGAGGAACUCCUAGUAAGCGCGAGUCAUCAGCUCGUGCUGAUUGCGUCCCUGCUCUUUGUACACACCGCCCAAGCCGAAUUC